Molecule: RNA transcript, 2520 nt
Organism: Vitis riparia (riverbank grape)
Lineage: Eukaryota; Viridiplantae; Streptophyta; Magnoliopsida; Vitales; Vitaceae
Gene name: methylcrotonoyl-CoA carboxylase beta chain, mitochondrial
Exons: 9
Source: RefSeq, a predicted model, not a curated record
GGAUGCACAGAAAAAGAAUGAUGCUGAGGGUAUUGGGAAGAAGAGCAUCCACGUCUCAUCAAUGGCGAAAUCCGGUAUCACUUCUCCAGAAAUGUCAGUUCUGCAUAGGAGUGCUUCCCGACGGCGUCGAUCGUCAAUCUCCUUCCUUCUCUCAGAACUCCGCUAUCAUGAACGAUUACAUUUCCCAACUCAAAUCGCAUGUCCAAAAGGUGCUUGGCGGAGGAGGAGCAGAAGCUGUGAGGAGGAACCGGAGCAGGAACAAACUUCUCCCUAGAGAGAGAAUCGAUCGCCUCCUUGACCCUGGCUCUUCAUUUCUUGAGCUUUCUCAGCUUGCAGGCCAUGAGCUAUAUGAAGAACCUUUACCAUCUGCUGGGAUAAUCACUGGAAUAGGACCUGUGCAUGGGCGACUUUGUAUGUUUGUGGCUAAUGACCCUACUGUAAAGGGAGGAACUUACUAUCCCAUCACUGUUAAGAAACACCUUAGGGCACAAGAGAUUGCUGCUCAAUGUAAAUUACCGUGCAUAUACCUUGUUGAUAGUGGAGGUGCUUACCUUCCAAAGCAGGCUGAUGUCUUUCCUGACCGGGAUAACUUUGGUAGAAUUUUCUAUAAUGAAGCACAAAUGUCUGCAGAAGGUAUUCCUCAAAUUGCUCUGGUAUUAGGUUCUUGUACUGCUGGGGGUGCUUAUAUACCUGCAAUGGCGGAUGAAAGUGUUAUGGUCAAAGGAAAUGGUACCAUAUUUCUAGCUGGGCCUCCACUUGUGAAGGCUGCUACAGGAGAAGAAGUCUCUGCUGAGGAUUUGGGAGGUGCAACUGUGCAUUGCAAAACAUCAGGGGUUUCAGAUUAUUUUGCUCAAGAUGAAUUGCAUGGACUUGCUAUUGGGAGGAACAUUAUCAAGAACUUCCACAUGGCUGGAAAACUGGGGAUUGUAAAUGAAUUGCAAAAUAUUAUUCCUGAAUUUAAAGAACCAGUUUAUGAUGUAAAGGAGCUCCGUUCAAUUGCACCAGCAGACCACAAGCAGUCUUUUGACAUCCGAUCAGUUAUUGCUCGCAUCGUUGAUGGAAGCGAAUUUGAUGAAUUCAAGAAAUUGUAUGGAACUACUCUUGUAACAGGUUUUGCUAGAAUUUUUGGACAACCUGUGGGCAUAAUCGGAAACAAUGGGAUAUUAUUUAAUGAAUCUGCUCUAAAAGGGGCCCAUUUCAUUGAAAUAUGUACUCAACGCAACAUUCCUUUGGUGUUUCUUCAGAACAUCACUGGAUUUAUGGUUGGUUCAAGAUCUGAGGCAAAUGGGAUAGCAAAAUCUGGAGCAAAGAUGGUGAUGGCAGUUUCUUGUGCAAAGGUUCCUAAAAUUACUAUUAUUGUUGGCGGAAGCUUUGGUGCUGGAAAUUAUGCAAUGUGUGGGCGUGCAUAUAGUCCCAAUUUCAUGUUCCUUUGGCCAAAUGCCAGAAUAUCCGUGAUGGGUGGUGCUCAGGUAGCCCUUUAGCUCAAUAUGUUUUGCAUGUGACUCUAAUGUUGAAUACUUGUCAUUGCUUAGUACCUUUCAAUCUUAGUGUCUAACUUCUUCAUUUGCCUUGUACUAUCCUUUAUCCAUCUGUCUAUAUUUCAGAAGGUCAUGUAGCUUGUAUUUAGGAGGAGGUGAUCCUCUUCAUCUGCUAUAGGAGGGAACUAACAGCAUUCUGAUUCUGUUACCUGUCUGAUCAUUGACAUGUUAUAAUUUACAUACUUUUUAAGGAGCAUCCUUUUUGUUUUUCAUUUUUUGUUGGCAACUGGGCAAAAGGCUUAGAGAUUGUAACUGAGCCCACCCAGGUCGAUUUCUACCCUGAUCCUUGACUACCCUGGUCAAGCUCCAUAGGACUUGUUACGGUGCACUCUCCUAUUGAAAAAAGAAAAUGAGCUCGGACAUCAGUAGUUUGACUGGUCUCCUGAUGGAUAUUGCCCAGUCUAAUGAAAUCAAAUUUAUGCCCUAAGAACUUUGAUUUGUUGAAUCAUGAUCCAGACACUCCUAUGAGCUGAGUUUGGUAAUGUGAUAACAUUAACUGAAUGCUUGAAUUUGAAAGGUGCAAUAAAGUGAUCAAUCUGCUUCUAUAUUGCAAGCUUGAUACUGUUUCUCUAUUGUAGACAUAAUGAAUUUACUUCCACCUCCUAAGGGGAGAUUUGACGGCUAAACCCAUUUUUUUUUUCCAAGAAUCUUAAUCCAGAUAUAAGAACUUUAUGCAAUUUUGUUAUGAUAUGUAACCCUUAUGCUGUGUGUAAUUUAUAAGUUAUUUAUGUGUAUGAUGAAUGCUGAUAAUAAUGUGUAAAUGCAACACAAAAUCCUAAUAAAAGAAAAUAAAAAUUCCCCUUGCGCAUGUUACCUUUUUCUCACUCAAAUUCUUCCUGACCUUGCAUGGUCCUGCAUCUUCCUGAUUUAUUCCUCAGUACAGAGUUAUUGGUCUGAGUCCUGAAUCUUUUGGUAUGUAUGCUCAAAUUGUAGUUGUGAUUUGUAGAAGUAGGCUUGUAAACUCUUCAGUUCUGAUUGUAUC